GAUGAACGCUGGCGGCGUGCCUAAUACAUGCCAGUCGAGCGAACGGACGAGAAGCUUGCUUCUCUGAUGUUAGCGGCGGACGGGUGAGUAACACGUGGAUACCUACCUAUAAGACUGGGAUAACUUCGGGAAACCGUAGCUAAUACCGGAUAAUAUUUUGAACCGCAUGGUUCAAAAGUGAAAGACGGUCUUGCUGUCACUUAUAGAUGGAUCCGCGCUGCAUUAGCUAGUUGGUAAGGUAACGGCUUACCAAGGCAACGAUGCAUAGCCGACCUGAGAGGGUGAUCGGCCACACUGGAACUGAGACACGGUCCAGACUCCUACGGGAGGCAGCAGUAGGGAAUCUUCCGCAAUGGGCGAAAGCCUGACGGAGCAACGCCGCGUGAGUGAUGAAGGUCUUCGGAUCGUAAAACUCUGUUAUUAGGGAAGAACAUAUGUGUAAGUAACUGUGCACAUCUUGACGGUACCUAACCAGAAAGCCACGGCUAACUACGUG
RNAcentral lists this ribosomal RNA (496 nucleotides) under uncultured bacterium. RNAcentral describes it as "partial 16S ribosomal RNA". It matches the Rfam family "Bacterial small subunit ribosomal RNA", at positions 28 to 507 of the family's 1533-position model. The record is from RNAcentral.